RNAcentral lists this long non-coding RNA (244 nucleotides) under Rattus norvegicus (Norway rat). RNAcentral describes it as "long non-coding RNA NONRATT024064". Lineage: Eukaryota; Metazoa; Chordata; Mammalia; Rodentia; Muridae. The record is from RNAcentral.
GUGACAACAGGAGCUAAGUGUGUGAGGCUAUACCUUGACGACAGUUGGGCCAGCAGAGCUCAGCAUCCGAGAAGACAGCGGAAGCCCCGUUGGGAGCAGCUGACAAUGUCAACAGACUGAAGGAAUCCUCAUGGCAUCCAGGUGAACAGCAGGUCAACUCUUGGUUCAGAUUAAGGUCCUAUCUGGCUCAUGUGCAAGAAGUACAAUAACCACAGGGAUCAUCUCCAUCCAAAGCAUAAAGACU